This 285-nucleotide long non-coding RNA is filed under the name Glycine max (soybean). RNAcentral describes it as "long non-coding RNA (GMAX_LNC001930)". The record is from RNAcentral. Lineage: Eukaryota; Viridiplantae; Streptophyta; Magnoliopsida; Fabales; Fabaceae.
UCCCGACAAAGAAACCAAAAGUUCAACCAAACACUUGCACAGACAGUUGAGUGAAUCAAUGAUCCAUGGCAAAAGCAAAAAAACAUGAAAGAGUGAAGGGGUAUACUACAAGUAAGCAUAUCUAGCAUUUGCGUAUUGUUCUCAACAAUAAGAGCUACGUACCACAAUGCGCGAGAAGUGUGUGCCCUUUCAUGUCCCCACGGGAUAAUUGACUAAUUUCCUGAGUUUACUUUUUUUAUACAAUUUUUUUUCUGCGUUUGUGUGUGUCAUGGGAAAAGAAUGAUA